RNAcentral lists this ribosomal RNA (531 nucleotides) under uncultured Alkanindiges sp. Its description in RNAcentral is "bacterial SSU rRNA". It matches the Rfam family "Bacterial small subunit ribosomal RNA", at positions 343 to 865 of the family's 1533-position model. Lineage: Bacteria; Pseudomonadati; Pseudomonadota; Gammaproteobacteria; Moraxellales; Moraxellaceae. The record is from RNAcentral.
GGGAGGCAGCAGUGGGGAAUUUUUGACAAUGGGCGCAAGCCUGAUCCAGCCAUGCCGGGUGUGUGAAGAAGGCUUUUUGGUUGUAAAACACUUUAAGGGAGGAGGAGACUACCUAUAUUAAUACUAUAAGGUAGUGGACGUUACUCGCAGAAUAAGCACCGGCUAACUUUGUGCCAGCAGCCGCGGUAAUACAGAGGGUGCGAGCGUUAAUCGGAAUUACUGGGCGUAAAGCGCGCGUAGGCGGUUUGUUAAGUUGGAUGUGAAAUCCCCGGGCUCAACCUGGGAAUUGCAUUCGAUACUGGCAAGCUAGAGUAUGGGAGAGGAAGGUAGAAUUCCCGGUGUAGCGGUGAAAUGCGUAGAGAUUUGGAGGAAUACCGAUGGCGAAGGCAGCCUUCUGGCCUAAUACUGACGCUGAGGUGCGAAAGCAUGGGGAGCAAACAGGAUUAGAUACCCUGGUAGUCCAUGCCGUAAACGAUGUCGUCUAGCCGUUGGGGGAUUUGAUCCUUUAGUGGCGCAGCUAACGCGAUAAGU